This 1112-nucleotide long non-coding RNA is filed under the name Homo sapiens (human). RNAcentral's name for it is "HSALNT0148495". Lineage: Eukaryota; Metazoa; Chordata; Mammalia; Primates; Hominidae. The record is from RNAcentral.
AGGAAUGGACAUCGUUUCGUCUUGCGCAUCUCUGUCUCUCUCACUUGCUCUAAUUUGAUGUGAAUCUUUUCUUUAAGAGCAAAGAAACUUUUCCCAGGACCCUCCCCUGCCCCAGCAGAUUUCCCCUCAUAUUAUCCAGAAUGCUGGAAGCCCGUGCCUAAGCGGUCAUGGGGAAGGAGCAUGGGACCACGCUUAGACUAAUCCAGCUCAUUCCUCCAGGCUGGCUCUCCAAGCCUCCCUGAUGCAGUUUCUGGCUCCUCGGAAGAAAGGAGAUGGGGGUCAGGAAUAGGUAUAAGCUGUGAUAGUGUCUGUCACAGAAUCCCAAGUCUGGUUGUUAAGCUUGACACACUGCUGCUAUUCUGGGCUUGCCCCUCGGCUCCCAUCCUCACUCUAACAUAUUUCCUCAGCUGUGAGGUAAGUCCCCACAACUCUAAAUGACACAUUCUAAGGCUGUCCUUGGCAGAACAGUGAGGAACAUGAAAUGUGUGCCUUGGAGCCCAGUGCUCUUAUGUAAUUCCCCUGGGAUGUCAGUGCCGUCCUUGGUCAGCGCAGGCAUGGUCACUGGAGGUGGGGAGAAGAGCAGAGCUCUGCCUCAGAAACGUGGGCCCUGAGCCCUCAGCCUGGCCCUGACCCAGCCCCAGAACUUUUUGUUUUGUUUUGUUUUUUGAGGUGGGGUCUGGCUGUGUUGCCCAGUUUGGACUGAAACUCCCGGACCCAAGUGAUCCUCCCACCUCAGCCUCCUCAGUACGUUGAUGUGAGCGUGGCUGCACCCGGCCCAGAGUUGGGUUUUAAACAUGUUUCCCCGUCCUCUGAGAUCUCAUCUUCCUGGUCUGUGCUUUUUCUUCUCUUAGAAUCCGAAUUUUUUAUUUUAUUUUAUUUUUUUAACAAAUUCUAACUUGCUCCCUAGUGUUACCGCCCACACCUACAACAACUUUAUCCUGUUUCCUUCCCUCAACCCCCACAGCUUUUCUGGCUCCCAUGGAGUGCACACUCGGCCACUGUGGCCGGAGCCUGGCAGAGCCUGGCUCAUUUGUUGAAUGGAUGACUCUGAUUAUAGCAGGUAUUCAGUAAGCCACUCUUGUUAAAUUAUUGAAAAUAAACGAUGUUACUCC